UCAAGCAAGAAGAGGUUUGCGGCGGAUGCCUGGGAGCUGUCCGGCGAAGAAGGCCGCGGUAAGCUGCGAAAAGCUGCGGGGAGGAGCACACAUCCUGAGAUCCGCAGAUAGCCGAAUGGGGUAACCCGUAUGCCGCAAGGCAUACACCGCGCGCGGGAAGAAGAUACUGCGGCGGAGCGAUACUGCGUGAAGUGAACCAUCUAAGUAACGCGGGAAGAGAAAUCAAAAGAGAUUGCGCAAGUAGCGGCGAGCGAACGCGCAGGAGCCUAAACCCUUAUGUAGGGUGUUGCAGGGCCGCACGGGGAUGACCCGUGGAGUUGGUGAGAAAACCGAUAUGUAGCGGAAGCGUCUGGAAAGGCGCGCGAGACAGCGUGAAAGCCGCGUAUGCGAAAGAUAUCGGACUCCAUGGUGCGGUACCUAAGUAGGGCGGGGCACGAGAAACCCUGUUUGAAUCCGGGUCGACCACGAUCCAAGGCUAAAUACGAGACAGCUACCGACAGCGAAGAGUACCGUGAGGGAACGGCGAAAAGAACCCCGGUGAGGGGAGUGAAAGAGAACCUGAAACCGCAAACCGACAAGAUGUCACGGCGCGCGAGCGUUGUGGCGUGUCUUUUGUAGAAUAAACCUGCGAGUUGCGAUGCGCGGCGAGGCUAAGGGUUGGGAGAUCCGGAGCCGGAGCGAAAGCGAGUGUGAAAAGUGCGAAAAGUCGCGUGUCGCAGACCCGAAGCCAAGGUGAUCUAAUUAUGGGCAGGCUGAAGGCAGGGUGAAACCUGUUGGAGGGCCGAACAGUAAUCUGUUAAAAAAGGUAGUGAUGACCUGUGAUUAGGAGUGAAAGGCUAAACAAACCUGGAAAUAGCUGGCUCUCCCCGAAAUGCCUUUAGGGACAGCCUCAUGCAAAGCGGAAGGAGGUAAAGCACCGGAUGGGAUAGGGGGCGUCACAGUCUACCGACACCAAUCGAACUCAGAAUGCCAUCCGCCAACGCAUGGGAGUGAGACUGUGUGCUCCAAGGUUCAUAGUCGAGAGGGAAACAGCCCGGACCGACGGCAAAGGUCCCGAAAUAACGCUCAGUGUGAAAUGAGGUGCGUCUGCACAGACAGCCAGGAGGUUGGCUCAGAAGCAGCCAUUCCUUAAAAGAGUGCGUAACAGCUCACUGGUCGAGCAGGCGUGCGCAGACAAUGUAACGGGGCUAAGCGUUAUACCGAAGCCGCGGGCCCGCAUUGUAAGAUGCGGGCGGUAGGGGAGCAUUGCGCUAACCGAAGAAGGCGUACCUGUGAGGGGCGCUGGAGGAAGCGGAAGAGAGAAUGCAGGCACAAGUAACGAAAAGACGGGUGAGAUUCCCGUCCGCCGAAAGCCUGAGGAUUCCCGGGUAAAGGCAAUCUGCCCGGGGUAAGUCGGCCCCUAAGGCGAGGACGAAAGUCGUAGUCGAUGGGAAAUCGGUUCACAAUCCGAUACCCGAUUCAGUUUUGAAGGCAGGACGCAUGAGGUGAAAUCCGGCAGAAGAACGGUAGUUUCUGUCCAAGCGGUAAGGUGUUGAGAGGGCGGUUAAAAGAGCCCUUGAGCUGAGCUGUUACGGGGGGCGGAGCGCAGGCGAAGCGAAGCGGAUGUAAUCAAGGUGCCGGGAAAUACUGUCUAAAGCUAGGCUGAGUCGGACCGUACCGGAAACGGACACACGCAGGCAGGAUGAGUAAUCUAAGGCGCACGAGCGACCCCGCGUUAAGGAACUCGGCAAAAAGCACACGUAACUUCGGAAGAAGUGUGGCUCACGCUGAUAAGGAUGUGAGCGGCAGAAAGCAGGCCCAGGCGACUGUUUACCAAAAACACAGCCAUCUGCGAACCAGUAAUGGGACGUAUAGGUGGUGACACCUGCCCGGUACCGGAAGGUUAAGGGGAGGGGUUAGCAGGAAUGCGAAGCUCCGAACCGAAGCCCCGGCAAACGGCGGCCGUAACUAUAACGGUCCUAAGGUAGCGAAAUUCCUUGUCGGGUA
Molecule: ribosomal RNA, 1986 nt
Filed under: human metagenome
Description: bacterial LSU rRNA
Rfam family: Bacterial large subunit ribosomal RNA
Source: RNAcentral